RNAcentral lists this transfer RNA (73 nucleotides) under Candidatus Kaiserbacteria bacterium RIFCSPHIGHO2_01_FULL_55_37. Its description in RNAcentral is "tRNA-Met". It matches the Rfam family "tRNA". Rfam says of the family: Transfer RNA (tRNA) molecules are approximately 80 nucleotides in length. Their secondary structure includes four short double-helical elements and three loops (D, anti-codon, and T loops). The record is from RNAcentral. RNAcentral also lists the same sequence under 4 other names. Lineage: Bacteria; Candidatus Kaiseribacteriota.
GCCGACGUAGCUCAACGGUUAGAGCGGAGCCCUCAUAAAGCUCAGGUUACAGGUUCGAUUCCUGUCGUCGGCA